AAACUUUCAACAACGGAUCUCUUGGUUCUCGCAUCGAUGAAGAACGCAGCGAAAUGCGAUAAGUAGUGUGAAUUGCAGAAUUCAGUGAAUCAUCGAAUCUUUGAACGCACAUUGCGCCUCCUGGUAUUCCGGGGAGGCAUGCCUGUUCGAGCGUCAUUA
Molecule: ribosomal RNA, 159 nt
Filed under: Scutellinia superba
Lineage: Eukaryota; Fungi; Ascomycota; Pezizomycetes; Pezizales; Pyronemataceae
Description: 5.8S ribosomal RNA
Rfam family: 5.8S ribosomal RNA
About the family: 5.8S ribosomal RNA (5.8S rRNA) is a component of the large subunit of the eukaryotic ribosome. It is transcribed by RNA polymerase I as part of the 45S precursor that also contains 18S and 28S rRNA. Functionally, it is thought that 5.8S rRNA may be involved in ribosome translocation.
Source: RNAcentral